UACGGAGGAUCCAAGCGUUAUCCGGAUUUAUUGGGUUUAAAGGGUGCGUAGGCGGAAUUGUAAGUCAGUGGUGAAAGCCCUUCGCUUAACGAAGGAACUGCCAUUGAUACUGCAAAUCUUGAGUACAUUUGAUGUGGGCGGAAUGUGUCAUGUAGCGGUGAAAUGCUUAGAUAUGACACAGAACACCGAUUGCGAAAGGCCAGCUCACAAAACUGUAAACUGACGCUGGAGGCACGAAAGCGUGG
Molecule: ribosomal RNA, 245 nt
Filed under: uncultured bacterium
Lineage: Bacteria
Description: partial 16S ribosomal RNA
Rfam family: Bacterial small subunit ribosomal RNA
Source: RNAcentral